This 696-nucleotide ribosomal RNA is filed under the name uncultured bacterium. Its description in RNAcentral is "bacterial SSU rRNA". It matches the Rfam family "Bacterial small subunit ribosomal RNA", at positions 32 to 715 of the family's 1533-position model. The record is from RNAcentral.
AACGCUAGCUACAGGCUUAACACAUGCAAGUCGAGGGGAAACGACAUCGAAAGCUUGCUUUUGAUGGGCGUCGACCGGCGCACGGGUGAGUAACGCGUAUCCAACCUGCCCAUCACUUGGGGAUAACCUUGCGAAAGUAAGACUAAUACCCAAUGACGUCUCUAGAAGACAUCUGAAGGAGAUUAAAGAUUUAUCGGUGAUGGAUGGGGAUGCGUCUGAUUAGCUUGUUGGCGGGGUAACGGCCCACCAAGGCGACGAUCAGUAGGGGUUCUGAGAGGAAGGUCCCCCACAUUGGAACUGAGCCACGGUCCAAACUCCUACGGGAGGCAGCAGUGAGGAAUAUUGGUCAAUGGACGAGAGUCUGAACCAGCCAAGUAGCGUGCAGGAUGACGGCCCUAUGGGUUGUAAACUGCUUUUAUAAGGGAAUAAAGUGGGUCUCGUGAGACUUUUUGCAUGUACCUUAUGAAUAAGGACCGGCUAAUUCCGUGCCAGCAGCCGCGGUAAUACGGAAGGUCCGGGCGUUAUCCGGAUUUAUUGGGUUUAAAGGGAGCGUAGGCCGGAGAUUAAGCGUGUUGUGAAAUGUAGACGCUCAACGUCUGCACUGCAGCGCGAACUGGUUUCCUUGAGUACGCACAAAGUGGGCGGAAUUCGUGGUGUAGCGGUGAAAUGCUUAGAUAUCACGAAGAACUCCGAUUG